ACACAUGAUCACAUUGGUAUUUUAACAGUGUUGUUGUAAGAGGUCCUCACAACUAUAGAAACUAUAGAAAGACGCGCAUGUGUGUGUCCAGUGUGUGUGUGUCCUGUGUGUGUGUGUGUGUGUCCUGUGUGUGUGUGUGUGUGUCCUGUGUGUGUGUGUGUGUGUGUGUGUGUGUGUGUGUGUGUGUGUGAGUUCAGGUGUAUCCCUCAAUGACUGUCUGUCCUUCUGCUUACCGCUACAGUGUGGAACAUGGUGGAGAGAACAGAAUGAAACCUGGGCUUAGAAAAUGUGAGUGUUGACUGCUGUGAAGAAUAUGACUAAGAAUAAGUCUUAAUUCAAGUUAAGUCAAAGUCAAAGACCAACAUCAUUACUUACUUGGUCAUAUUAUAUAUCAGCUGUAGUUCUACAGAAG
Long non-coding RNA from Oncorhynchus tshawytscha (Chinook salmon), 412 nucleotides. RefSeq lists it as uncharacterized. The transcript has 2 exons. The record is from RefSeq and is a predicted model, not a curated record. Lineage: Eukaryota; Metazoa; Chordata; Actinopteri; Salmoniformes; Salmonidae.